This 464-nucleotide ribosomal RNA is filed under the name uncultured bacterium. Its description in RNAcentral is "partial small subunit ribosomal RNA". It matches the Rfam family "Bacterial small subunit ribosomal RNA", at positions 26 to 518 of the family's 1533-position model. The record is from RNAcentral.
AGAACGAACGCUGGCGGCAUGCCUAACACAUGCAAGUCGGACGCUCUUGAGGCUUCGGUUUCAAGGGAGUGGCGCACGGGUGAGUAGCGCGUGGGAACCUGCCCUGUUGUGGGGGAUAACCGAGGGAAACUUCGGCUAAUACCGCAUGCGCCCCCGGGAGCGAUCCUGGGGGGAAAGAUUUAUCGCAGCAGGAGGGGCCCGCGUCGGAUUAGGUAGUUGGUGGGGUAACGGCCUACCAAGCCUUCGAUCCGUAGCUGGUCUGAGAGGAUGAUCAGCCACACUGGGACUGAGAUACGGCCCAGACUCCUACGGGAGGCAGCAGUGGGGAAUAUUGGACAAUGGGGGCAACCCUGAUCCAGCAAUGCCGCGUGGAUGAUGAAGGCCUUCGGGUUGUAAAGUCCGUUUCGGCGGGAAGAUGAUGACGGUACCGCAGAAGAGCCCGGCUAACUCGUGCCAGCAGCCGC